RNA transcript from Mesocricetus auratus (golden hamster), 476 nucleotides. It is a transcript of the gene named SPTY2D1 opposite strand, with no coding region annotated. Lineage: Eukaryota; Metazoa; Chordata; Mammalia; Rodentia; Cricetidae. The record is from RefSeq and is a predicted model, not a curated record. The transcript is spliced from 4 exons.
GAGAGUCUCUUGGAUCCUUUGGAACCAAGGAAUGGAACUAAUAUGCGACACGUCUGUCAACUGAAGGUUUCAUGAGUUCGCUCCUUUGUCAAGAUCUUGGCGAACAGUCUCUCACCGUGUGAUUGUAGCUCAGAAAUUAUUUUUCUUUUGGUGAUGAUCGUGCUGGGCUGGAUGCUUUUUGUAGGCUUUGCAUCCUACAUGGGUGCAUUUCCAGAGGCGAUGCCUCCAACUCUAAAGUGGAAAGAGAGGUUGCCUGUAUGGGAGAACAAGGCACGACGAAGGAGCCAGGCUUUGGAGGAGGAGCUGCUGCUACUGUGAGUGGGUGGUCAGGAACGAUGUGGAAGGGAUAUAAAUAUCCCCCAGGAGGGACCCCUUUGGAAGUAAGCAAAGAUGACCCUGGUGAAGUCAUGCAGCUGUGAAGACCACCCAACUGCACAGUUCCUGUUGUAGAUUUCACAUAAAGUAAUCGCACAUUA